Molecule: long non-coding RNA, 281 nt
Filed under: Gallus gallus (chicken)
Lineage: Eukaryota; Metazoa; Chordata; Aves; Galliformes; Phasianidae
Source: RNAcentral
GCAAGGUGUUCUCUGAAGAAUCAGUCUCUUCUUGAGAGCAAUCAUAAUUCACUGAAGCUUCUGCAGGGUCAAGUUUCAGAUCGGUGAGGUCUGCGCUUUUCCUUUCCUGAAUGGUCCCCUCUGGAUUUAUUUGCAGGAUUUUGUUGAGAGUGAAAAUCCAGUCAUCCAUAUCCUGUUCAUUUUCAGCUGCCAGCACAAAGUAUGUGAGGUCAUUCAUUUUCAGCUCAAAGGCAUGUUUCCUAAGCCUGUUAUUCUGUACGACUCCCGUACAGGAAUCCAAG